RNAcentral lists this ribosomal RNA (497 nucleotides) under uncultured bacterium. Its description in RNAcentral is "partial 16S ribosomal RNA". It matches the Rfam family "Bacterial small subunit ribosomal RNA", at positions 28 to 507 of the family's 1533-position model. The record is from RNAcentral.
GAUGAACGCUGGCGGCGUGCCUAAUACAUGCAAGUCGAGCGAACAGACGAGGAGCUUGCUCCUCUGACGUUAGCGGCGGACGGGUGAGUAACACGUGGAUAACCUACCUAUAAGACUGGGAUAACUUCGGGAAACCGGAGCUAAUACCGGAUAAUAUAUUGAACCGCAUGGUUCAAUAGUGAAAGACGGUUUUGCUGUCACUUAUAGAUGGAUCCGCGCCGCAUUAGCUAGUUGGUAAGGUAACGGCUUACCAAGGCGACGAUGCGUAGCCGACCUGAGAGGGUGAUCGGCCACACUGGAACUGAGACACGGUCCAGACUCCUACGGGAGGCAGCGGUAGAGAAUCUUCCGCAAUGCGCGAAAGCCUGACGGAGCAACGCCGCGUGAGUGAUGAAGGUCUUCGGAUCGUAAAACUCUGUUAUUAGGGAAGAAGAAAUGUGUAAGUAACUAUGCACGUCUUGACGGUACCUAAUCAGAAAGCCACGGCUAACUACGUG